RNAcentral lists this ribosomal RNA (301 nucleotides) under uncultured bacterium. Its description in RNAcentral is "partial 16S ribosomal RNA". It matches the Rfam family "Bacterial small subunit ribosomal RNA", at positions 509 to 808 of the family's 1533-position model. The record is from RNAcentral.
CAGUAGCCGCGGUAAUACGAAGGGUGCAGCGUUAAUCGGAAUUACUGGGCGUAAAGGGUGCGUAGGCGGUUAGUUAAGUCUGUCGUGAAAUCCCCGGGCUCAACCUGGGAAUGGCGAUGGAUACUGGCUGGCUAGAGUGUGUCAGAGGAUGGUGGAAUUUCCGGUGUAGCGGUGAAAUGCGUAGAGAUCGGAAGGAACAUCAGUGGCGAAGGCGGCCAUCUGGGACAACACUGACGCUGAAGCACGAAAGCGUGGGGAGCAAACGGGAUUAGAGACCCCGGUAGUCCCUGUCUCUUAUACA